Molecule: unclassified non-coding RNA, 253 nt
Filed under: uncultured Flavobacteriales bacterium
Lineage: Bacteria; Pseudomonadati; Bacteroidota; Flavobacteriia; Flavobacteriales
Description: contains 16S-23S intergenic spacer region
Rfam family: Bacterial small subunit ribosomal RNA
Source: RNAcentral
UACGGAGGGUGCAAGCGUUAUCCGGAAUCAUUGGGUUUAAAGGGUCCGCAGGCGGACUUAUAAGUCAGUGGUGAAAGCCCGUCGCUUAACGAUGGAAUUGCCAUUGAUACUGUAGGUCUUGAAUUCGGUCGAAGUGGGCGGAAUAUGUCAUGUAGCGGUGAAAUGCUUAGAUAUGACAUAGAACACCGAUAGCGAAGGCAGCUCACUAGGCCUGGAUUGACGCUCAGGGACGAAAGCGUGGGGAGCGAACAGG